This 450-nucleotide ribosomal RNA is filed under the name uncultured organism. Its description in RNAcentral is "partial 16S ribosomal RNA". It matches the Rfam family "Bacterial small subunit ribosomal RNA", at positions 334 to 800 of the family's 1533-position model. The record is from RNAcentral.
CACUCCUGCGGGAGGCAGCAGUGGGGAAUAUUGGACAAUGGGCGCAAGCCUGAUCCAGCCAUGCCGCGUGAGUGAUGAAGGCCCUAGGGUUGUAAAGCUCUUUCACCGGUGAAGAUAAUGACGGUAACCGGAGAAGAAGCCCCGGCUAACUUCGUGCCAGCAGCCGCGGUAAUACGAAGGGGGCUAGCGUUGUUCGGAUUUACUGGGCGUAAAGCGCACGUAGGCGGACUAUUAAGUCAGGGGUGAAAUCCCGGGGCUCAACCCCGGAACUGCCUUUGAUACUGGUAGUCUUGAGUUCGAGAGAGGUGAGUGGAAUUCCGAGUGGAGAGGUGAAAUUCGUAGAUAUUCGGAGGAACACCAGUGGCGAAGGCGGCUCACUGGCUCGAUACUGACGCUGAGGUGCGAAAGCGUGGGGAGCAAACAGGAUUAGAAACCCGAGUAGUCCCAUGA